GAUGAACGCUGGCGGCGUGCCUAAUACAUGCAAGUCGAGCGAACGGACGAGAAGCUUGCUUCUCUGAUGUUAGCGGCGGACGGGUGAGUAACACGUGGAUAACCUACCUAUAAGACUGGGAUAACUUCGGGAAACCGGAGCUAAUACCGGAUGAUAUUUUGAACCGCAUGGUUCAAAAGUGAAAGACGGUCUUGCUGUCACUUAUAGAUGGAUCCGCGCUGCAUUAGCUAGUUGGGAAGGUAACGGCUUAGCAAGGCAACGAUGCAUAGCCGACCUGAGAGGGUGAUCGCCCACACUGGAACUGGGACACGGUCCAGACUCCUACGGGAGGCAGCAGUAGGGAAUCUUCCGCAAUGGGCGAAAGCCUGACGGAGCAACGCCGCGUGAGUGAUGAAGGUCUUCGGAUCGUAAAACUCUGUUAUUAGGGAAGAACAUAUGUGUAAGUAACUGUGCACAUCUUGACGGUACCUAAUCAGAAAGCCACGGCUAACUACGUG
This 497-nucleotide ribosomal RNA is filed under the name uncultured bacterium. RNAcentral describes it as "partial 16S ribosomal RNA". It matches the Rfam family "Bacterial small subunit ribosomal RNA", at positions 28 to 507 of the family's 1533-position model. The record is from RNAcentral.